GACGAACGCUGGCGGCGUGCCUAAUACAUGCAAGUCGAGCGGACCGACGGGAGCUUGCUCCCUUAGGUCAGCGGCGGACGGGUGAGUAACACGUGGGUAACCUGCCUGUAAGACUGGGAUAACUCCGGGAAACCGGGGCUAAUACCGGAUGCUUGAUUGAGCCGCAUGGUUCAAUUAUAAAAGGUGGCUUUCAGCUACCACUUACAGAUGGACCCGCGGCGCAUUAGCUAGUUGGUGAGGUAACGGCUCACCAAGGCGACGAUGCGUAGCCGACCUGAGAGGGUGGUCGGCCACACUGGGACUGAGACACGGCCCAGACUCCUACGGGAGGCAGCAGUAGGGAAUCUUCCGCAAUGGACGAAAGUCUGACGGAGCAACGCCGCGUGAGUGAUGAAGGUUUUCGGAUCGUAAAACUCUGUUGUUAGGGAAGAACAAGUACCGUUCGAAUAGGGCGGCACCUUGACGGUACCUAACCAGAAAGCCACGGCUAACUACGUGCCAGCAGCCGCGGUAAUACGUAGGUGGCAAGCGUUGUCCGGAAUUAUUGGGCGUAAAGCGCGCGCAGGCGGUUUCUUAAGUCUGAUGUGAAAGCCCCCGGCUCAACCGGGGAGGGUCAUUGGAAACUGGGGAACUUGAGUGCAGAAGAGGAGAGUGGAAUUCCACGUGUAGCGGUGAAAUGCGUAGAGAUGUGGAGGAACACCAGUGGCGA
This 709-nucleotide ribosomal RNA is filed under the name uncultured Bacilli bacterium. RNAcentral's name for it is "bacterial SSU rRNA". It matches the Rfam family "Bacterial small subunit ribosomal RNA", at positions 28 to 718 of the family's 1533-position model. The record is from RNAcentral. Lineage: Bacteria; Bacillati; Bacillota; Bacilli.